Molecule: ribosomal RNA, 468 nt
Filed under: uncultured bacterium
Lineage: Bacteria
Description: partial 16S ribosomal RNA
Rfam family: Bacterial small subunit ribosomal RNA
Source: RNAcentral
GACGAACGCUGGCGGCGUGCUUAACACAUGCAAGUCGAACGGAAAGGCCCUGCUUUUGUGGGGUGCUCGAGUGGCGAACGGGUGAGUAACACGUGAGUAACCUGCCCUUGACUUUGGGAUAACUUCAGGAAACUGGGGCUAAUACCGGAUAGGAGCUCCUGCUGCAUGGUGGGGGUUGGAACGUUUCGGCGGUUGGGGAUGGACUCGCGGCUUAUCAGCUUGUUGGUGGGGUAGUGGCUUACCAAGGCUUUGACGGGUAGCCGGCCUGAGAGGGUGACCGGCCACAUUGGGACUGAGAUACGGCCCAGACUCCUACGGGAGGCAGCAGUGGGGAAUAUUGCACAAUGGGCGGAAGCCUGAUGCAGCAACGCCGCGUGCGGGAUGACGGCCUUCGGGUUGUAAACCACUUUCGCCUGUGACGAAGCGUGAGUGACGGUAAUGGGUAAAGAAGCACCGGCUAACUACGUG